CAUUGUCAGCAUAUGUAUUUCCCUGACAUCUUUCUAUAUUUUAAAAUGUAUAGUGCCCAGAGAUGACUUCAAAUAAUUAUUUUGAUAUAAUAAAUAUUGACGUUAUAUAGGCUACCCAUGUUUUAUAUCGCACCACAGUAAACGGCCGUUUCUCUAGAUAUAUGUUCAUAUUAUUAUGGGCUAUUAAUUUUUUAAAUAUGUGAAUGCCGGCUGUAAUCUAGAUUUUUCGACUCUAUUUAGCAGUCUGAAGUGAAAAGGAGUGUUUCCUAAACAGUUAUGUAUUCUGAUGUACCGUUGGAAUGGCAGUGGAAAGUCUUAUGUACUGGUCUGUGUAUGAAAUGCCUCACCUGUUUUAUAGUUUAGAAAACUCACUUUAUCCUACAAAUGUGUUAUUUUACAAUAACUUUAAAAAAGAAGAAAAAAAAAACAUUGUAUUUAUUUCCAAAGCUUCAUGUUACAUUUUUCAGAGCAUAACAUGUCACCAAUUAAAACACAUAUCUCUUUCAUGGAAUGAGUGGAAUUAUCAGGAUUACAUAGCUAAAGGUUAUAAACUUUAAUUAUCGACACCCUUCUCUUUCGGCGACAAUUCUGUCAAACAAAACAAAACAAUUAGACUUUACCAAGAUUCUUUUUCUUUUUCUUUUUUUUGUGACUUUGAAUUGGACUUUUUUCUUUUUCUUUUUUUUUUUUUAUAGGCCAGUAAGGGUACCGGAAAUGUUUGUACAUGCUGGAUUUAAAAAAUGCAAUCUUGAAUCAAUGCAACAUUCUGCUUUAUCAACAAUUCAUAUUAUAAAAGGCGAUUUUAUUUUUGACGGUUUUCAUAUAUUGAGUGAGGGCUGACUUUUCAUUCAUACACUCUAAAAAAGGAUGCGUUAAAUUUAGAAAAGAACACAGGGUCUAUGAAGACAUCAACUGGCAAAAUUAUCUAUUGGCAUAUUGGUACUGCAUUUAGUAUUUGUGUGAUUUUCAUUUGUAAUUACAAUAAAGUCAGUAGCCUAAAGUAAAACGUGUGUUAUAUCCAAUAUCCUAAGUAUUGCAUCGCGUCUCAACUAGCCUGUACGCUAGAUAGGCCUACUCUGUAACUAGCAUCUGAUGUCACUGAAAUAAAUAAAUACAUACAUACAUAAACACACACACACACACACACACACACACACACACACACACACACACACACACACAAAAACCUUUGUAAAAUAAAUAUUUGUUGUGCAUUUAACAUAUUCAAAGUCUGUUUGACACCUUCCCUAGAAGCACUAUCACGCCUCCCUAUAGGAAUGUUAUUUAUACCGUGCAGCUGGAGGCUGUCAUCAAUUCAAAACAUGUGUUUAUCAGCCUUACAUGAAAGUGCCGUGUUUUUAAAAAAUAAGAGUUUAUGCAAAACAGCCCUUCUGUUUUUAAAUUAUACAAAACGACAAAGGACAUGAAUGCCACGUGUAAAGUAAAAAUAGACACAACUUUUGUAUAUUACGUAAUAACCACUCACUGAAAAAAUGAUUACGGGCGUUCUAUGGGUUCUUUGGGGUUUCUUCCUAUAGUAUAACUUAAUGCAGGUUCCAGAGCGUUCUACAUAGAACCCAGCAGUUCUAUUUUAAACCCUUUAACGUUGAACUCAUAUGAACCAAUAUUAACAGUUCUAGAAACACACCACCCUCCCCAAAAGGAAAGAAAAAAAAACGAAGAAAAACAUCGUUUCAAAGCUCAGGAAUACCCAUUUUAUCAAGUGUGGUCUAUAAUGUCCUGUUGAUAACAUUGAACACAUUUAAAUUACAGUGUCUGUGGCAAAAGAAGCCUUACCUUUUAUUGUUAAGAGUCUCGACCUUUGAAUAGGACCCUAUAGAGUAAAACCAUCUUAAUCGACUGCGGCAUUUGUUAUUUAUAUUAAUAUUAUUAAUAUUAUUUAUUUUACAAAAGUCAUCUUGUAUAUUACAAUUAAUUUGCACUAUAAAUCAAAUGGAUUGGGUACCAGUAGAUUCUGAGUUUAACAAAAAUAAAAAAAUAAAUAAAAAUGUAAUGUGAUUUGUAGUCUCUCUCCUGCACAUGUGGUACUAUAGGGCGACACCAGCAAUGUGCUGUUCAAUAUUUAUGACUCUACCACCUCUCAAUUUGCAAAAACUAACAACAAAGUCUGAAUUUACCAUUGGAGUGUGUGUGUGUGUGCGCGCGCGCGCGUGCGUGUGAGUGCGUGAUUAUGUGUACGUGUGUUUACGAACAAAUAGACAAAUAAACUAAGUACAUAUUGUGGAUUAAUUUUAUUAAAACAGAGGGCGUUUUUAUUUAUUUUAGAAAUAUUUUUUGUUCUGUGAAAAAUGCACUUUUAUUUACGUUGUCAGAUACAAGUAUCGUACUGGAACAAUUUUUGCCUUUCUACAGCACACAAUAAAUUAUGCAUAGCAAUUCAAUUUUGCAUCAGCUAAUGAAGCAACAUUUUAGCUAUUACUGCCUGCAUUUUUUCUCGUGUUAUUCUUUCUAACUUCCAUAUGAUGUGUAGCCUGCUUAAAAUUACAUGCGUUAACUGAACACACAGGGGCAUAGUGUGAAGGUUAAGGGCAGAACAGUAAAAUACAAAUAUUGUUUUUAAAAUCUUUAUUCUUAUCUCUUUCAAAAUGUAUGGCCGUUGUAUAGGCUAAACAUUUUCAAAGCUUUGUUGAGGUGGUAGUUUCUCAUCGCCUUUGGAAUUCUUACUAUUCAUACUGAUGUAGACUCAUUCUGUUCACAUUUUUUUUAAAAAUCUAGAACCGAUUUUCCUAAAACAGUAAAAAGUGAGCUACUGGUGCACAUACAACUUGAACAUAGUGUAAUAAAUUAACCGAUUAUAUUAUGAUCAUAUACAGGCGUAAAACUGUAUGUUUUAGGUGAGAAUAAAGGUCAGGGCAGCCUAUUUACACAUCAUGUGUUAUGCAGGUGUGUGGUGUGUACUGAAAACAAUGUAUUAGGAUGCAGGCAUUUUUGGUAUCAUGCUGUACAUACUGUUCUACCUUAAGGCCUCCAUUCAACGAAACGACUAGAGACAUAUUACAAAAAAAAAAUCAUAUGUAUUUGAAGACAGGUCGAGCAAUGCUGAUUAAACUCAAUUUCUUGUGCAUGCAUAGUAGUUCAUAUAGCUCUCUUCUACCAUUUGACUAUUUACCCACAAUCUGUGUUUUCCAGGCAGUUUUACUGUAGAACCCUUACGUGUUCUGCUCCUGUUCUGAGAUAGAUUACACCCAAAAGUAUAGCUGCUAUUUUUCUCACUAUUUCGGCUGACCUUUGGCUGACUUUGAGACUGCUGGUAGGGGUGUGCGUAUAAAACACAACACGAGUCAGUUAGGUUUGCCUUGCUGAAUUUCUGCAGCAACACGAGUGUUGAUUACUUUAAAUGUAGCAUAACCCUUAGAAAAUAAAGUCGACAAUUCAGUCUGCAACAUCAUAUAUAAACUGUACCUAACGCGAGGAGUACCAAGCAACUACCGUGUAAACUGUGAUGAGAGAAACGCAUAGACAAUAAUAACACAAGAACACUGAUAAAAAAUAAUAAAAAAAUAAAAACUUAUUUUUAGAAGCUAUGGAAACUAGUUGUAAUUUCUUACUAAAUAAUAAUUAUAUUUGUCCAAUUGAUGAUUAAUAAUUAUUAUAUUUGUCUAAUUGAUUAUUAAUAAUAAUUAUAUUGUUCUAAGACAUUUAGGUCUAUUAUUUCUAGCCAGAUUUAUAGCUGCAUGUUAACUAUGCAAUUUAUAGUCAACACUAUUAAAUUUCAAUUUUAGCUUGUUAUUGUUCAUUAACAAUAAUUCACUUUAUUAGUUUUCUUUUAUACUAAAAUAAACAACAUAUACUACGACUACUACUACUACUACUACUACUACUAAUAAUAAUAAUAAUAAUAAUAAUAAUAAUAAUAUUAACAAAACAAUUUGUUUAAUAUUUAGUAUAGGGGGUGUGGCUCUGCUACCCCCCCCCCCCCCUUCUCAAAUACAUACAGACUUACACCUCCCUCCCCUGCCACUACAGUCACCAUAACCACCACAUAGACAGACACACACGAGCGCACAGUGAAGCCAGAAGAAUUGACCGAUCUUUCCAGCACCUUAAGUUAACUUUUAGAGGUGUCUUGUCACAUAACCGUGUUGUGGAUUUAAACUGAUUAUAUAAAGCAUAGGUAGGUGACAAAUGGAGAAUCUGAAAUAUAAUGUUUCUUUAUUGUUUUCUUUCUUUCUUUCACAAUAUUUAAAAAAAAACAAUCAUGGUAAAUUCAUGAUUUUGUUGUUUUGACGUUUACUUUACAGAAAUACUUGUUUUCUACCUGUUAAAUGUUGACUAAUUAUCCUAUUGCUAAAUCACAGUUCCUUCUGGGAUAUGCCAAUUGAGAUGCAACAUUUUCCCAUUAUUAGCUUGUCAAAAUGAAUCGUAUUACUGUGGACAGUACAGCAGUUUAUUUACAAUAAAGAAACAGCUUGUGGACAUCUGUUAUUUUAAUUGCUGCUCAUCAGAAUAAUUCAUGAUAAUACCGAAAGCAAAGUGAUAAAGUGUUUCGUUUAAAACAUUAAACAGUUCUUUUUAAUCAUAUACACAAAAAGCGACCCCAACGCUUCAUUUAUAUAUGUAGAUUAAUUAUGGUUUUAUGACUUAAUUGACGCCCAAGACUGGAUUAUACAUACCACUACUGCACCAGUGAAGGUAGGCUUGUUUUAGUGUCAUGCUACAAACUUUUCAAACUCUAGCUUUCAAUAAAUAAUUGAAUUUAACAAUUAAUUAGCCAAUUACUUAAUAAUCAAAUAAAUCCAUCAAUUAAAACAUCGAAAACAGAAAUAGAAAAGGUUGAAUCUUAAAUUAAUACAUGCCCUGUUUAUCCUUAAUAAACAUAACUUUUGUUGAUUGCUAAAAAAAAAAAAAAAAAAAAAGCUGCCAAUUUGAUACAAAAUUAAUUGAUUUAGGAGGAAAGAAAAACACCAGAAGUCUAGGCCUAUACUGUGAGCACACACACAGAAUGUAAUGACGAGUGACUAAGAUACUAUGCAGAUUAAAGUCGUUUUCUGCAAGUCCAUCUGUCUUGGUUCUCAGGAGUGUGUGUACAGAGAAACUAAAAAACUUAAUUUUUGACGACCCAUUGGUCAGAGUUUAGUGAACAAGUUUUGUCUUUUGCUACAGUAUUUUUAAAAAGCAAAGGAGAAUCACCGGUAAUGGCAUGAGGGCUUGAUAUCGGGGAACCUGCUGGAGGGGGCAGUCUCCGCACUGCAGUAAUUGGAGUCGAAUGCCAUGCGCGUCUGCUUUUCACUUAUGAAGACACGUGAUUGAUUAAUUAUUUUAAAUGCUGAAAUUUAAGAUCAAAGUAUGCAGUCAUUUCGGAUUGUGGAUGUUCUUUACGUUUUAUUUUUUAUUGAUAACAAGGCGAUCUAAUCUAUGUAUUACAGGGAGAGAAAAAUUAUAGAAACGCAAGGUUGGUAUAAAGAAAAAAGAGAAAAAGCAGUAUUUCAAAAACUACACAGCGCAACUUUAUAGUUCAGGUUACUUUUCAUUGUUAUAUUGUGUGCAAGGCAAGACGUGUUAAUUUGAAUCCUAAUGUAAUUCCAAAAUGUAAUAAUAUGGAUAGGCAAUAUUACAAUAUCAUAACAGUGAGACAGUAGCAUAACAAUUGUUAAAUAUUCUGUGUAAGAAAAGUCAAAUAAAUAAAUCAAUAAAAUUAAACAGCGUCGGUGAACAUAAGACUAAGCACUGGAAAACAUAAUUGAUUUGAAGAUCAAAAGUAUGGAAAACAGCAACAUGGUACACAAACCUGACCCCAAAUCAAACCAUGUCACCAUGAACUAUGAUUUCUGAUUUCCCUCCAACGCCUUAAAAGGUAAUUUCCCUCCUGGUGAAGACAAUAUGUUUAGGUAACAGACCAAUAAUAAAUAUAAUGUAAUACCCACUAAUAAUACAAUAAAUGUUUGCUAAAUUAAUACAAUCAAAGAAACCAAUUGCAAUCCUUAUGAUAAGUGAAGAAAGAUUAUUUAUUAAAAAUAAUUGCCUCAGAAACUAGUGAUUGAUGAAUUUGGUGGCUGGUCUUGCAAAAUUAUCAGGUUAAACUGCUUUCACCCUGGUUGUUGUGUUUAAUAGUGAGAUUUACAUGAGGGCUUUUUCAGGCAGCAGUGCCCUAUGACUGGCACAUGGUUUUCGCCACACUUAAGUGUUGGCAGGAACAAUUACCUUUUUUAUUAUUUGUUAAAAGGAAAUGCUGGGUGUGAAUUAAUGUAGUUAUUUUUAUUUAUUUAUUUUUCCUUCUGCCUCUAGAAGUAUUACCAAGCCAGCACAGCUGUGAAGAUAAUGAAAUACUAUAAUUUCAUCAAUCUUACCUGCAGUGCACUGCAAUUCUCUAUGUAGAUACUGAAUCAAAUCAGGGUACUAGGGGAACAUUAAGCCACUUGAAGGGAAUCAUUGUUGGGGGUGGGGGCACUAUGCUGAUUACGGAGCAGGGAAGUUUGACUAAAGCAUCUCUAAGACUACAGAAUGAAUUUGGAGAUCAAACUUGUAUUGUAACACUUGAAAUGUAUUUGCUUACGAUUGUAAGUCGCCCUGGAUAAAGGCGUCUGCUAAGAAAUAAAUAAUAAACCCCAAACCGUUGCUUUGAUAUACAUUACACACCAUGUUUGUAAAAGCAGAAUUCAGCCAAAGUGUUGCAAAAUGACGACAUGAACACAAACAUGAAAUAAACGCAUUCAUACAAUAAACACAAACAUAGGACAUAGUCCAGUGCCACUGUUUAUAUGUAAGGUAGACAUUAACCUGUGACGUGUCAAAAUGUUGGUCGAUAAUCUAAUUUCAGGGAAAAAAAACACAGCCUUGCUCUGCGCCACUGAACUGCAGGCUCAGCUGCACGGAUCUGUCAGCUAUCUGCUUCAACUGCUGUAAAACACCAUCAGCUUGCUGAUCACUUCAUGCCUGCGUAGAUCUGUUCUACAAGAAUCUUUUAAUUCAAAUAUAUGUGCAUGUGAGAAUAAUUACCAGCAAAAAGAAAAACAUGCAAUACAUCCAGGUGGCUGCUGUUUUUUAUUACUUUGUCUCCAGUAAUGAAUUACUAAUUGUUUUUAACACCUGUAUAGCUGUCUGUCCAGAUCAUUGUUGCUGAGAGAAAUAGAUGUGCAAUCUUACAUAGCCAGAGAGUCUCAAAAUGACACAAAGUGCACAGUAAUAAAGAUAAGUAGAAAAAAAUGUGAUUGCUAUAAGAAUAUUAUCAAGAAGUUAAAGGUAAGUAUUUUUAUUUCAGUUUAAAAGAGGUGCCUUGGUUAAAAAAAAAAACAACCCUGGAAACACAGAGCAUAACUUGGGUUUAUUUAAUGUAAAACCCCACUUUCUUUGAAUGUCUAUGUGAUAGAGCAUAGGCUCUGCACAUGGGGGCACACUGAAGUGUGUGCUUUGUGACUACGUUUGCACAGCCACAUGGGAUUGAUGGGAUUUGUUGUUUAAUUGAUUGUUUAAUUGUUUAAUAGAAAAGUGUGGAAUGUGGCCAGGUGGUAAUUGAAUGAUUGAAGUCACUCACCCCAGGUCAAACCAUAGAAAAGGAAAGGAAAUGUUUGUUGGGAGAGAGCACAUGGAGAGAAGGGCUGAGGGCAAUAGGUUGUGCUUUCAACCCUGCACUGGGGGUAGCUGGAGCUUGGGUGCCGUUUUGUUCAUUUGUGUUAGAGUUUGUGUUGUGUAAGAGUUUUUUUAAAACCUUUUAUUUUUUUAAUUAUUAAAAGUGCGCAAAAUUGUUUAAACUGCAGUUUCUGUGUCUGGGUUUGCUAUUCCUGCCAUUGACCAGCCUUGACCGCCUGACACUAUGCCUCAGUCCACUAAUGGGUGACAUUCCAAAAAGUACAGCUUUAAGUCUAAUUUCGUAGAGUUUCCAGGUAAGCAAAUUCAAUACAAGUAAGUACUGUUUCUCUCAUGCUUGUACAGUCACAGAUGCACAUACUGUACAAAUAUUUAUCAGCAUGGUUUCUGCUUACACGUUACAAAGUUAAUUUAUUUUGUUUUUUAUUUUUAUUUUUUAACUUUGUUUGAACCAACCAAGCUUUCUGAUUUGAUGUAUGCGAUCACAUGACGAUAUGGUAAAACUUGUCUUAAUCUGCUACUCUUGUUGUUGUAUUUUAAGCUUCAUAAGUAAUGUAUUUUUUUGUAAUCUUUGGCAGUUUCUUUGGUUGUCAUUAUUUUGUACAUCCAAAUUGCUGUUGCUGUAGGAAAGGGAUACCGAUGAUUCAGUUUUCAGUUUCUACCAGCAACCAACUGACUACCACUAGAGAGAGCAACUGAGCAGAGGAUUCAUACCUAAAAAAGCAACUCAAUGUGUACAAGUCAUUUCCCUUUUCAACAAGACUACAUGUAAUUUAAGCUGUGUUCCCAAAUGCUCACUUUCACACACACCUGCCAGUCGGCUUGGACGCUGAUUUCAGAAGCAUUGUGGUAAUGCAACUGUUAUGCUGGUGUGAAAAAGCCAACAUAAUUUCAAACGUGUGUGUAUAAACAUGUAACUUAUACCUUGUUGCAUGUUUUAAUAUUCCCUUGUCAAUUAAUUGUGAACUAUUUUGUACUGUGUAAAAUAACAUCAAGACUAUACAAAUAAAGCUUACAAAAAGAUGAAAAA
Long non-coding RNA from Acipenser ruthenus (sterlet), 8575 nucleotides. RefSeq lists it as uncharacterized. Lineage: Eukaryota; Metazoa; Chordata; Actinopteri; Acipenseriformes; Acipenseridae. The record is from RefSeq and is a predicted model, not a curated record. The transcript is spliced from 2 exons.